Molecule: long non-coding RNA, 6266 nt
Filed under: Sus scrofa (pig)
Lineage: Eukaryota; Metazoa; Chordata; Mammalia; Artiodactyla; Suidae
Description: lncRNA (ENSSSCG00000055002.1)
Source: RNAcentral
CAUUUCAUUAUUGAUGGCAGUUUGGGUUGUUUCCAGUUUUUGGCUCCUAUGAAUAAUGUUACAAGUCCUUCUACAUGAAUCUUGAGAUAGAUAUGCAAGCAUUUCUUUUGGGAACAUCCUGGUAAUGGAAUUGCUCUCUUAUCAGGUAUGUAUAUGUUCAGUUUUAGAGGAUACUGCUUAAUAGAUUUUCAAAUUCUUGUGUUAAUUUAUUAACCAACAGAAUAUGAGAAUUCCAGUUGUUUUUUGUGUUCUUGCCAUCUCUUGUUACAGAAAGUCCUUUUGAUUUUAGCUGUUCUGGUGAAUAUGAAGUAGUAUUUCAUUGUGCUUUUAUUUUCUUGAUGACUAGUACUGUUCCGCAUUUUUUUUCAUAGAUUUGGGUAUAAGUCUCUUGCCCAUUUUUCUUUUAGGUUUUGUGUUUUUUUCUUAUUGAUUUUUGUAUGUAAGUUUUAUCUUGCAUAUAAGCCUUUUCUCAGUUGUAUGUGUAGCAAUAUAUUACUCAGUUUUGACUUGUUUUUUAACUUUUUAAUGCUGUUUUUUUGAUGGAAACAGUUUCCCUAUAUUAAAGUGAUUUAAUUAUCAUCCCUCCCCCUUAUUGUUAGAAUUUUUUAUUUCUGUGUAAGAAAUCUCUACAUAACUCAAGGUUGUGAAUAUAUGAUUUGGUAUUAUCUUAUCAAACUGUAUUGCUGUCUUUUUCGUAUUUAGAUCUACUCCCUAGCUGGAAUUGUUUUUUAGUUUGUGGUGUGAGGUAUGGGUAGGAUUCAGUUUUUUUUCCAUGUGGGUAACCGAUUAAACCAGCACUAUUUAUGGAAAAGCCCAUCCUUUCUCUACUAUGUUUUAGGACUACUCUGGCAUAAAUCAAGUGUGUAUAUUUAUGGUAUCUCUGUUCUGUUACAUUUAUCUAUUUUUCCGUUGUGCCAGCAAAACACUGCCUUGAUUAUUGCAGCUUUAUAAUGUCUUGAUUUCAGUAAAACAAAUCCCACUUUAUAUUCCUUUAAGAGUGUUUUGGCUAUUCUUUUUUAAAAAGACUAUUUUUUUAAAAUGCAGUUUUAAGUUUACAACAAAAUUGAGAGGAAAACACUGAGAUUUUUCAUAUGUUCCCUGUGUCCACACAUGUACAGCUUCUCCCAUUAUCCACAUCAUUCACCAGGAAGGUAAAUUUUUUUACUAAGCAUGAACUUAACAGUGACUCAUCAUAAUCACCCCCAAGUCGCUAGUUUACCAUAGGGUUCACUUUUGGUGUUGUAUGUUCCAUGGGAUUGGGCAAGUUUAUAAUGAUAUAUGUUCAUCAUUAUAGUAUCAUACAAAAUAUUCACAUUGCCUUAAAAAUCUCUCUGUGUUCUGUCUAUUUAUCUCUUCCUUCUCCUUUCCACUCCUGGCAACAACUAGUCUUUCUAUUGUCUCCGUAGUUUUGCUUUUCAAGAAUGUGAUACAGUUGAAAUCAUACCUUAUGUAGCCUUCUCAGAUUGGUUUCUUUCAUUCAGAAAUAUGCAUUUAACAUUCUUCCAUGUCUUUUCAUAGCUUGACAGCUUAUUUCUUUUUAACACUGAAAAGUAUUCUGUUGUCUGGAUAUACCACAGUUUGUUUAUUCACUCAUCAACUGAGGGACAAUCUUGGUCUCUUUCAAGUUUUGGCAAUUAUGAAUAACGCUGCUGUAAACCUCCAUGUGCAGGUUUUUGUGUGGACAUAAAGUUUUUCACUUCUUUCAGUAAAUAUCAAGCAGAAUAAUCACUGGAUUGUGUGGUAAGAGUAUGUUUAGUUUUGUAAGAAACUAUCAUACCCUCUUCUAAAGUGGCUAUACCAUUUUGCAACCCCACUGGCAAUUCAUGGAAAGAGUUUCUGUUGCUCCUGUUGUACCAGCAUUUGGUGUAUUUAGAAUUUAGGCCAUUCUAAUUAAUGUGUAGUGGUAUAAUUGUUUUAAUUUGCAUUUCUCUAGCAACUUUUAAUAUAGAGCAUUUUUUCAUAUAUUUAUUUGCCAUCUGUAUAUCUUCUUUGGUGAGAUAUUUGUUAAGGGUUUUUGCCCAUUUUUUAAUCAGGUUUUCUGAGCUUUCGGUUUUUGACACUCUGUGUUUUCAUAUAAAUUUUAGAAUCAGUUUGUUUAGCUCCACAAAAAACAAAAACAAAGAACCUGUUGAGAUUCUUAUUGAGAUUGCAUUGACUUUAUAAAUAAAUUUGGGGAAAAUUAACUUUUUAUAAUAUUGACUCUCAUGUAUGAUCAUAAAAUUUUUUUCACUUUUGUAGAUCUUUUAAAAUUUAUGUAUAAGAUUUAUGAUUUUCUGUGUGGAGAUGUUGCACAUAUUUUACACAUUUAGUUUGAGUAUUGAUUUUUUUGGUAUUUAUACAUGAUAUCUUUACAUAUAAUUAUUAAAUUGUGUGGUUGCUCCUGUUUAAAAGUAGAGGUUCUCGUCAUGGCUCAGUGGUUAGCGAAUCCUCUAGGAACCAUGAGUAGCAACUUCACAAUGUUGUGUAACCACCAUCUCAAUCUAGCUCCAAAAUAUUUUCAUCACUUCAGAAGAAAGUCUCAUACACAGCAAUAGGUCUCCUUAGACCAUCAAUUUGCUUUCUGCCUCUGUGGGUUUACCUAUUCUAAAUAUUUCAUAUACCUGGAAUCAUAUAAUAUGUGACUUAUUGUAUCUGGCUUCUUUCAUUUACCAUAGUGUUUUCAAGGUUCACCCAUCUUAUAGCAUGUGUCAAUACUUCAUUCCGUUUUAUGACUGAAAAAUAUUUCCCUGUAUGGCUGUAUACAUUUGUUUAUCUAUUCAUCAGUUAAUGAACACUUGAUUGUUUCCACCACUUGGCUACUAUGAAGUUCUGCUAUGAACAGAAUGUUCUUUAAGGUUACUUAUUUUUUAAUCUCCCACCCACUGCACCACACUGGUUGAAUAUACCCAGUAUGAGUAUUAUAAGGGUACCUCAUAAAAGAAGCUAUUCCAGUAGUAGUCAGCAGCAGUAAUUGUUGGAUAAUUCUCUACAUGCAGCCAAAAAUUUGUGUUUUCUAAUUCUAUUAAAAUUACUUUAUAUAUGAUAUAAAUCACUCAAAGGAGAAACUGAACAAACAUGCUUAGCUGUAUAUGAUCAUACUUUUAAAAACACAAUUUAUCUAAUAUUUUUAAAUUAAUUAAAAAUAAUUUAACUCCUUUUUACUCUAAUGAGAAAUUCUUCAUUUAUGUGGUUCUAUGAACCUUGAUUUCAUUAUCACUUGGUAAUUUCUAGAAAUUUCUCCUCCUAAAACCAUUCCCUGCAUUCAUGGGGAUUUUUUUAUUUUGGAUUUUUUGCAAGAAUUUUGAAAGCUAUUUAAAAAAAAUUAUAUCUAAGAAUUCUGAAGUAUUCCCUUGACGAUUCAAAUUGUAUUUGGGUGGAAAAAGAAGGGACCAGGAGGAAAGAAUCAAUUCUAAUAGAAUUACAGAAAGUCUAUGUUUAAUUCUCCUCUCCUCUAAAAUAAAUUUAAACCCCAAAACUAUCCAUUAUUUUUCCACUUUAGCCUUGAAUGCAUCACAUCCUAUCAGUCACCCAUUAACAUUAUUUGUCAUCCUAGAACAUUUCAUAAUAACACUUAUAUCUGAGCUACUUCCCCUAAUAAGACUUUUAAAUAGACACAGACAAGUAAUAAAUCUAAGUUUUAUUCUCAGGUAAAUUUACAUUUUUUCAGCUUAGAAAAUCAGUAAUUAAAGUGAAAAACUGUCUCUUCUUUCCCCUUUGGAUCUAAUACCCGUGCAAGUGUCUCUUUGCCACUUCUGUGCUAUUGAUGAUGUCAUUAGCUCAGUCUCAAUAGGGGCAAAACAUUUUAUACAUGGAACAGAGAUGCUUUUAUACUGCUAGAUGAGUUUUCUGGGAUUUCAAACACUGUCCGUUUUCUUAAAGUUAGUUGACUGCAUUACUUUCCUAGGCUUGUCUAUAUUUGCAUUCUGGCCAAAGCAAAAGAUGAGUUCCAAGUUGUAUGCAGAUGUUUAAUAGGCAGUACUAAAAUUUUGUACGAAAUAGCCUCUAUCUGCUCACUUCCAUGUGAGGCUACAAGGAGAAAUUAGAUGUCUACAGCUCAGAGAAGGGGUCUCACCAGAGCUUGACCAUGCUGAUCUCAGACUUUAAGCUUCCAGACCUGUGAGAAAUAAACGUCAGUUGUUUAUUAGCCCCUCAGUGUGUAGUAUAUUCAUCAUAACAGCCUGAAAGAAUUAGGACUUUGCUUUCCACUUAGAGUUUCUUAUUUCAUGACUGUUGUUGGUAAAACAAAAAGAAUAUUUUUAAUAAAUCAUUCAGUACAAUUAAAGGACAGUGUUAUUUAUUUCUUCUCAUGUUUGAAAUGUCUUAUGUCUUCUUUGGUCAAUAUAAAUCAAAUAAAUAACUAAAUAUAAAUCAAAUCAGCAUUCUGUGGCCUGGGUAUAGGCAUGGUACACACAGGAUAAGGGUCUGUACAUGAUGUAGGGUUCUAGAAAGGGAAGAGUCAUUAUGAAUGAGUUCCUUCCAUCCUUAUGCUACAGAUGUAAAAGGAGAUGAAGUGGCUUGCCUGAGGUCAUGAGUAUAACUAAUAAUGAUAUGGACAGAAGCAUAAUAGCUACAGAGCUCAAAGUAGUGUUUAUUCACACAGUAUUUUUCAUGUUAAGUUGUAAAGAAUUGCACAGGGGAUGUCGGGGCCGAUGACAUCAAUCUUGAUAUGAUUCUCCACUUAGAUGAUAGUUGACUCCAAGAAAUAAAGGAAAUAUAGUACUUGUUUUACUGUUAGGAAUUGUGUAAACUGCGACUUUCUAAAUGGUCUAGAUUUUUCUCAUAAUCAAUUCCCUCCAUCUAAGAAUUGUAGAAAAGAAAGGGGAAAAUAUACAGUAACUUUUAUAAAAUAAGUGGUGAUAACAAUUUGAUGAAAAAUGGAUUUUGUACUUAAUUUAAGCAUUAUCCUGUUAGAUAACAUAUAACAGCAAGAAGAAUGGAAUAAACCACCUGGGUUGAAAAAUAUAGGAGAAGAAACUUAGUUGGAAGCUUGUACAUUAAAUGAAAAUAUUUGUACUAGAAGAGUUUGACUUUUACAUGCAUGAUGGCAGUCAGUUAAUUUCUUGGCUGUGCUAACUCGUGUUUUUAAAUUCAAAGCUAAACAUCUGGCAUUCGAAAGAAUUUUUUAAAAUGCAACUCAUAGAUAAGCCUACUUAGGAUACAAUAAACUGCAGGUAUUGAGUAAGUAGAAUUAUGAAAAAUCUGUGCAUGUAAACUCCAUGACUUCUUUUCCUGCCCUCUUUUCCCACCCUUAAUGCAUCUCUUUAAGGGACUUCUUUUUAAGCAAUCACUUAAUGAGGGGUUUCUGUGUGCCAGAUAUUGUACUAGGUGAUUUACAUACAGUAUUACAUUUAAUUCUCAGAACAACCCUGGGAGGGAGGGUUAACUGGAGCUGCUAUGAAGUCUUUUUUGAUGUGGAACCUACUCUGAAUUGCCAAUUCAAACCAGGGACAUUUUGUUCCAAAAUCCAAGAAUACCCACCUAGCAUUGUGCCUCUUUUGUUGGGGGAGGUGAUAGAAGGCAGAGCAAGUUUUUCUAACUUUCCAAGCAAUAUCCUGAUUAUUUCGUAGACAUGAAUCUGUGAAACUUCUCCAGUUUAUCUUCCACACUCUGAUGUGCAUUAGUCUUAUUAAGGCAUCCAGGAUUCUUCAUUCCUGAUCAUCAGAUACAUGUAAAUAUAACAUUGUCAAUAAUAAACAAUCCAGCAUAACCUUAUAUGGCAUAUAAAGAUUAUAGGGGACUAUAUGACAACAGAGGGCCUGAGGGAAAAUGGUAAAGAGACACUUUGUCUCUGUGAAGCUAACUGAUGCUGAUUUUCCUUGUUAGAUUUUUUUAAAAAUGGGUUAAGUCAAUAGCUGUAUACUAGCUACUGGGGUUUGUAGUGAUUUUUCCUUAUCUGGAACUGCAGAUUAACUUUAUGGUAAGGCUCAGUCAUUUUCCAAGAAUUAUUAAGCUUUGCACCAGGCAAACAGGCAGUUGAAGUUAGACAUACAGUGUGAAUCAACCUCCUUGUAUUUAAAACGUCUUUUGUUGGGAGUUGUCGUCCUGGCGCAGUGGUUAACGGAUCCAACUAGGAACCAUGAAGUUGCGGGUUCGAUCCCUGGCCUUGCUCCAUGGGUUAAGGAUCCGGCAUUGCCAUGUGCUCUCGUGUAGGUCGAAGACUCAGCUUGGAUCUGGUGUGGCUGUGGCUGUGGCUGUGGCUGUGGCUGUGGCUGGUGCUAUGGCUGUGGCUGUGGCAUAGGCCGGUGCUACAGCUCUGAUUAGACCCCUAGCCUGGGAACCUCCAUAUG